CUACGGGGCGCUGCAGUGGGGGAUAUUGCACAAUGGAGGAAACUCUGAUGCAGCAACGCCGCGUGAGGGAAGAAGGUUUUCGGAUUGUAAACCUCUGUUUUUGGUGAAGAAAGAAAUGACGGUAGCCGAAGAGGAAGCCACGGCUAACUACGUGCCAGCAGCCGCGGUAAUACGUAGGUGGCAAGCGUUGUCCGGAAUUACUGGGUGUAAAGGGUGCGCAGGCGGGACUGCAAGUUGGAUGUGAAAUACCGGGGCUCAACCCCGGAGCUGCAUCCAAAACUGUGGUUCUUGAGUGAAGUAGAGGUAAGCGGAAUUCCGAGUGUAGCGGUGAAAUGCGUAGAUAUUCGGAGGAACACCAGUGGCGAAGGCGGCUUACUGGGCUUUAACUGACGCUGAGGCACGAAAGCAUGGGGAGCAAACAGGAUUAGAUACCCUCGUAGUC
This 442-nucleotide ribosomal RNA is filed under the name uncultured bacterium. RNAcentral's name for it is "partial 16S ribosomal RNA". It matches the Rfam family "Bacterial small subunit ribosomal RNA", at positions 339 to 795 of the family's 1533-position model. The record is from RNAcentral.